This 4199-nucleotide long non-coding RNA is filed under the name Coffea arabica (coffee). RNAcentral describes it as "long non-coding RNA (CARA_LNC007472)". Lineage: Eukaryota; Viridiplantae; Streptophyta; Magnoliopsida; Gentianales; Rubiaceae. The record is from RNAcentral.
CUGAAAUUACUACCUUAAAGUAAAUAGAGUGAUCUACCUGACAACAGGUAUUUUGGGAGGAAAAAAUUUAGUCACUAUAUUAUGAGUGACCAACUAGUAUUUAUAGGAGUACAAACCUAACAAACUAUUUACAAAAAUACCCUUACUAAUUUAUUAUCUACAGGAAUACUUAUAUUCUCUUAACACUCCCCCUCAAAUUGGAGCAUAUAUAUCAUAAGCACCGAACUUGUUACAAAUAUAUUUCAUCAUAAAACCCCCUAAACUCUUGGCAAACAAAUCAUCCAAUUGAUCUACAGAUGGUACAUGAGAUGUCUUAAUAAUUCCGUCAAGCAAUUUCUCUCGAAUGAAAUGACAAUCAAUUUCAAUAUAUUUUGUCCUUUCAUGAAACACUGGAUUAGAAGCAAUAUGAACAGCCGUCUGAUUAUCACACACUAAAUUCAUAGGCUGUUUAUGCUCAAACCCAAUUUCAAAUAACAUGCUUUUCAACCAAACCAACUCACAUACAGUGUGAGCUAUAGCGUGGUCUUCCGAUUCUGCACUUGAUCUGGAGACAACUGUUUGUUUCUUACUCUUCCAUGACACUAAAUUACCACCAACGAACACGCAAUAUCCUACAGUCGAUCUUCGAUCUGAGGCAGAACCAACCCAAUCUGCAUCACUAUAUCCUUCAAUAUUAGUGUGUCCAUGACUUUAAUACAGCAACCCUUUUCCAGAAGCACUCUUAAGAUAUCUAAGAAUCCGUAUAACAGCAUCCCAAUGACUAGUACGAGGGGUAUCAAGAAAUUGACUCACAACACUCAUUGCAAAUGAAAUGUCAGGUCUCAUUAUAGUGAGAUAAUUUAAUUUACCCACAAGUUUUCGAUAUUGUUUAGGAUCAUCUAGUAAUGCACCUUGAUCUCCUACUAAUUUCACAUUAGGGUCCAUUGGAGUAUCCACAGGUCGGCAACCUAACAUCCCAACUUCACUCAGCAUAUCGAGUACAUAUUUCUUUUGACAUAAAUAAAUUUCAUAUUUAGACCGAACUACCUCAAUACCCAGAAAAUAUUGUAGAUGACCUAAAUCCUUUGUCUGAAAGUUUGCCUACAGAUUGGAUUUAAGUUUUUGGAUCUCCACAACAUCAUCACCUGUAAUCACAAUAUCAUCCACAUAAAUAACUAAUAAAAUUUUACCAGCAUUAGAGUGCCGAUAAAAUAUAGAGUGAUCUACUCCAUAUCUUGUCAGACCGAACUCCAUGACAACACUACUAAAUCGACCAAACCAAGUCAUCGGAGUCUGUUUCAAUCCAUAUAAGGAUUUUUUUCAAACGACAAACCAACUGCGAAUUCUCCCCCUGAACAACAAAUCUAGGAGGUUGUUCCAUACAUACCUCUUCUUUCAAAUCUCCAUGCAGAAAUGCAUUUUUCACAUCCAACUGAUACAAUGGCCAAUUAUAAGUUGCUGCCAAAGAGAUAAGAAGACGAACAGAGGUAAUCUUUGUAACAGGAGAAAAUGUUUCUAAGUAGUCAAUUCCAUACACCUGAGUAAAUCCCUUAGCUAUAAGACGAGUCUUCAAUCUAUCAAUAGAACCAUUAGGCUGCACUUUUAUAGUGUACACCCAUUUACAACCAACAACCGGCUUACCAGAAGGAAGAGGGAUAAGAUCCCAAGUACUAUUUUUCUCCAAAGCAGACAUCUCUUCUUGCAUAGCUAAUCUCCAACCAAGAUAAUCAAGAGCAUGGGUAAUAAACUUAGGAAUGGAGACAGAAUCAAGGGAAGCAACAAAAGAAAAAUAUGACAUAGAGAGACGAGAAUAAGUAACAAAAUUAAAAAUAAAAUGAGAAGUGCAAUGCCUCUUACCUUCGCGUAAAGCAAUAGGAAGAUCUAACUCUGAGGAGGGCGUCAUACCUGGAUUUGAAGAUUGAGAGUUAAUUGGUAAAGUGCGUGGCAUAUCAGAAACUUUCUCAACCAUGGAAUGACGAGAAUAAACUUGAAAAUUUGGAUGAGAUAAUCGACCUAGUGAAUCUGGUGGACUAGAUAACUCAGGUAAUAAAGGAGAAGUGACUAGUAAAACAGGAGAGGAAAAAGAGGGACAUUGAUCUAACUCACAAGGCAUACCGUGUUUCAUAAAAUAUGAAGUAGAUUCAAAGAAAGUAACAUCAACACAAAUAAAAGAUCGAUUUAAACUUAGACUGUAACAUCUGUACCCCUUUUGUGCUUGUGCGUAUCCUAAGAAAAUAUACUUAAUAGCACGAGGAUCUAAUUUAUUCACCCCAUGAGCAAGCUGAUGAACAAAGCACACACAUCCAAAAAUACGAUGAGGUAAUUUAAACACAAGUUCAUGAGAAAAAAGAAUGGAGUGAAGUAAUUGAUUUCCAAAAAUAUUAGAUGGCACGCGAUUAAUUAAAUAACAUGCAGUUAGAACUGCAUCACUCCAAAAUUGUUUGGGCACAUUCAUGUGCAACAAAAGUGUUCGAGCAAUCUCGAUUAAAUGUUCAAUUUUUCUUUCAGCAACUCCAUUCUGUUGUGGAGUGUGAGGAUAAGAGGAUAAUGAAUAAUACCAGACUUAAUCAUAAAGAUAUUAAAUAGAGUGGAAAAAUAUUUCUUCGCAUUAUCACUGCGAAGUAUACGUACAGGUACACCGAAUUAAUUCUUUAUUUCCGUAACAAAUGCACAAAAAAUGAAAUAUAGUUCUGAACGAUCUUUUAUUAAAUAAAGCCAUGUAACUCUGAAAAAAUCAUCAACAAAGAUUACAAAAUAUUUAAAACCUAACUUUAAAAUGACUCGACUAGGACUCCAAACAUCAUAAUGAACUAAUAAAAAGGGUUCAGAAACCCGUUUAUUGACUCUAGGAGCAAAAGAAACACGAUGAUGUUUUCCUAACUGACAAAACUCACAUUCUAAUGAAGGCAACUGAUUCAAAGUAGGAACCAACUUUUUCAAAUUUUGUAGAGAUUGAUGGUCCAAACGACAGUGAAUUUCAAGAGGAGAAACAGUAGCAGGACACGCAAUCGAACCAUUAGAGUUGAGAAAAUAAAGACCAUUAUGCUCAUGCCCUCCACCAAUCGUUCUCUUUGUUUUCAAAUCCUGAAUGAUAACAGAAUCAGGAGAAAAAGUAACUGAACACUGUAGAGAUUUUGUAAACUUACUAACAGAUAUUAGAUUAAAGGGCAAACUGGGUACGUAAAGAACAGAAGACACCGGAAGAGUUGGGUUAAUUUCUAUAGUGCCUAGUCAUUUAACUUUAGUGGUAGAUCCAUCAGUCAAAGUAAUAUGAGAAAAGGAAGUAAACUCUUGAAAAUUAGAAAAAUUUUUAGAGGUACCUAACAUAUGAUCAAUAGCUCCGGAGUCAAUAAUCCAUGAGUCAUUACAUUUUUGUGCUAAAGAAGUAGAGGGAAGAGAUGCGUGAUUUAUAACUUGGUACAGUAAGAAUUUAACAUAAACUUCUUCGGAUAUGGUAAUAGUCUUCUGGGACCCUUGUGCUGAAGAACUUGAUUCAGUUUGGUCAGUGAUAACCGCAUUAGCAAAUCGAGGAGGUUUUCCAACUAAAUCCCAACAAGUAUUACGAUUGUGAUUCUUCAAACCACAAUGAGUGCACUCACGGGUGCCUCGACCUCCACGACCUCCUCUACUUCUGACACUUUUUGAUAAACUUUUAGUCAUAGCGAAUAGUACUUUAAACCAAAGAAAGGGUCAAAAGUCGAGAUGAACAGUGACGUGUGAACGGUGCGCGUGAACAGUAACGGCGUGAACAGUACGCCCAUGAAUAGUACCGGCGUGAACAGCGCCGCGAUGAACAGUGCAGCGGAACAGUACUUUCGCUGCUAGAUGUUUAACCCUAACUCUAGGACUUUUGCUCUGAUACCAUGACAACAGGUAUUUUGGGAGGAAAACAUCUAGUCACCAUAUUAUGAGUAACCAACUAGUAUUUAUAGGAGUACAAACCUAACAAACUAUUUACAAAAAUACCCUUACUAAUUUAUUAUCUACAGGAAUACUUAUAUUCUCUUAACAUUACCUAACAGGACGAAUAGGUCAUAUGGAGACCAAAAAUGGUAUUCUGAAAGUCAUAUAGGUUCAUCAAAUAAGACUAGGGGAACCUGAACAAACAAAAAUCAUCUCAUACUAAUCUGAAGAUAUAAUAGCUGUUCUGUUGUUUCAGUAUCAUGCCUUUUUGGUACAUUAUUCAUGUGCUUUUAAUGGUUUCUUUACUUUAGAACAUC